Rhinopithecus roxellana (golden snub-nosed monkey) is the source of this 756-nucleotide long non-coding RNA. RefSeq lists it as uncharacterized. The record is from RefSeq and is a predicted model, not a curated record. The transcript is spliced from 3 exons. Lineage: Eukaryota; Metazoa; Chordata; Mammalia; Primates; Cercopithecidae.
CAUCUGAGCUCUUAAUUUGGUUGAAAGCAAGCUCUUCAGUCUAAGUGGAUAACAAAACAUCCCUUUGAGGAUGAGGAAAUAGAUGAUAAAAUCUGUGUUACUAAUUUUCUUCAAUAGUUUGGAGAAUUUUUUUCCAUCCUGUGUGUGUUUUUAAGACCUUGUUAAGUUCAUAGUUCUUUUUUCUUUUCUUGUUUGAAUAGAAGAUCAUUCUCUUUAAUCCCACCUGAAUUUCAAAAAUGUAUUAUUGAACUGCCCAGUUCAGGAAUCCAGUUGCCUGUUUUACUGAAUGGAGUUACCCACAUAUUACAGAAGAGCCUGAGCCUCAUGGAAGCCAAGUGAAGAUCCUGAAAUUACACCGCUACUGCCUCUCCUCUCCUCUCCUCUCCUGAAUGACUCUAGGACUAGGUCGGCUCCUUCGUUACUCCCAUUUGUAAGUAAAACCAUACCUCCAACCUACCUCAAAAGCCAGGCUUACCCAUCACAUUUUAUUUUUCUUAUGUUUAGAAAAGUUCAGUAUGAAAUUAGCACAUAUUGGUUGUAGAUAAAUAAAAAUAUGUCAAUUGUACUGAAGGGUAACGAUUAAAAGUUAAACAAAUAUUUUUUUCUCCUUCCCUUAGACCUUGCUAUUCCUCUGUGAAGUCUGAAAUCUCUUCAGAUAUUUUCUAGCACAUGCAAUCCCGUAUAUAGACAGGUUAUUAUAUAUGCAUAUUUCCUUAAUUUUUUUUAACAAAAAUUGGGUCAUAUGAAAAAUAUUCU